This 93-nucleotide transfer RNA is filed under the name Malassezia furfur. RNAcentral describes it as "tRNA-Arg". It matches the Rfam family "tRNA". Rfam says of the family: Transfer RNA (tRNA) molecules are approximately 80 nucleotides in length. Their secondary structure includes four short double-helical elements and three loops (D, anti-codon, and T loops). The record is from RNAcentral. Lineage: Eukaryota; Fungi; Basidiomycota; Malasseziomycetes; Malasseziales; Malasseziaceae.
GGCCGGUUAGCACAAUUGGUAGUGUGUCUGACUACGAAGGUCCUCUGGACCGAGCACAUCAGGAGGUUGCGGGUUCGAGCCCCGUGCUGGUCA